RNAcentral lists this long non-coding RNA (201 nucleotides) under Olea europaea (common olive). RNAcentral's name for it is "long non-coding RNA (OEUR_LNC000534)". Lineage: Eukaryota; Viridiplantae; Streptophyta; Magnoliopsida; Lamiales; Oleaceae. The record is from RNAcentral.
UAAAAAGUAACAAUAACAAAUAUCAGACAAUUUAAUCACAAAAAGUGUAAAUGAAAUUGAAAAAUUAUUAUACCUCAGGAACCCCUUUGUGGAAUUAGAUGUGAAAAGAUUGGAAUAUUAGCGAAAAUUAGGAAUUGAUUUUUAGUGAAUGGAAGUUGGAUUGCCUAAACUUGAACUAAAGGUCGAAAAUCAAAGUAAAAC